GAUUCUGGCUCAGGAUGAACGCUAGCUACAGGCUUAACACAUGCAAGUCGAGGGGCAGCAUGGUCUUAGCUUGCUAAGGCCGAUGGCGACCGGCGCACGGGUGAGUAACGCGUAUCCAACCUUCCCCUUAGUAGGGCAUAGCCCGUAGAAAUGCGGAUUAAUACCCUAUAUUGUCAGUAGAGGACAUCUGAAGUUGACCAAAGGUUCACCGCUAAGGGAUGGGGAUGCGUCCGAUUAGGCAGUCGGCGGGGUAACGGCCCACCGAGCCGUCGAUCGGUAGGGGUUCUGAGAGGAAGGUCCCCCACACUGGUACUGAGACACGGACCAGACUCCUACGGGAGGCAGCAGUGAGGAAUAUUGGUCAAUGGGCGCAAGCCUGAACCAGCCAAGUAGCGUGCCAGGACGACGGCCCUACGGGUUGUAAACUGCUUUUAUGCGGGGAUAACCGGCGCCACGCGUGGCGCCCUGCAGGUACCGCAUGAAUAAGGACCGGCUAAUUCCGUGCCAGCCGCAGC
RNAcentral lists this ribosomal RNA (515 nucleotides) under uncultured bacterium. RNAcentral describes it as "bacterial SSU rRNA". It matches the Rfam family "Bacterial small subunit ribosomal RNA", at positions 15 to 518 of the family's 1533-position model. The record is from RNAcentral.